This 484-nucleotide ribosomal RNA is filed under the name uncultured bacterium. RNAcentral describes it as "partial 16S ribosomal RNA". It matches the Rfam family "Bacterial small subunit ribosomal RNA", at positions 36 to 507 of the family's 1533-position model. The record is from RNAcentral.
AUUUCCCUCUGUCGUCAGGCCUAACACAUGCAAGUCGAGCGGAUGAAGGGAGCUUGCUCCUGGAUUCAGCGGCGGACGGGUGAGUAAUGCCUAGGAAUCUGCCUGGUAGUGGGGGAUAACGUCCGGAAACGGGCGCUAAUACCGCAUACGUCCUGAGGGAGAAAGUGGGGGAUCUUCGGACCUCACGCUAUCAGAUGAGCCUAGGUCGGAUUAGCUAGUUGGUGGGGUAAAGGCCUACCAAGGCGACGAUCCGUAACUGGUCUGAGAGGAUGAUCAGUCACACUGGAACUGAGACACGGUCCAGACUCCUACGGGAGGCAGCAGUGGGGAAUAUUGGACAAUGGGCGAAAGCCUGAUCCAGCCAUGCCGCGUGUGUGAAGAAGGUCUUCGGAUUGUAAAGCACUUUAAGUUGGGAGGAAGGGCAGUAAGUUAAUACCUUGCUGUUUUGACGUUACCAACAGAAUAAGCACCGGCUAACUUCGUG